Molecule: ribosomal RNA, 420 nt
Filed under: uncultured bacterium
Lineage: Bacteria
Description: bacterial SSU rRNA
Rfam family: Bacterial small subunit ribosomal RNA
Source: RNAcentral
GAGGAAUAUUGGUCAAUGGACGAGAGUCUGAACCAGCCAAGUAGCGUGAAGGAUGACUGCCCUAUGGGUUGUAAACUUCUUUUAUAUGGGAAUAAAGGAGCCUACGUGUAGGUUUUUGUAUGUACCAUACGAAUAAGGAUCGGCUAACUCCGUGCCAGCAGCCGCGGUAAUACGGAGGAUCCAAGCGUUAUCCGGAUUUAUUGGGUUUAAAGGGAGCGUAGGUGGAGGCUUAAGUCAGUUGUGAAAGUUUGCGGCUCAACCGUAAAAUUGCAGUUGAUACUGGGUUUCUUGAGUACAGUAGAGGUGGGCGGAAUUCGUGGUGUAGCGGUGAAAUGCUUAGAUAUCACGAAGAACUCCAAUUGCGAAGGCAGCUCACUAGACUGGCACUGACACUGAUGCUCGAAAGUGUGGGUAUCAAAC